UGUGUACUCCCUCCGUUCCAAAAUACUUGACUUCCAUUUGUCCAAAAAUGGAUGUACCUAUAUACUAAAACAUGUCUAGAUACAUAUAUAUUUUGAAAAAUACUAGGCAUGUAUUGUGCAACGGAGGGAGUAGAAU
This is a non-coding RNA of Triticum aestivum (bread wheat), 136 nucleotides long. The record is from Rfam. Lineage: Eukaryota; Viridiplantae; Streptophyta; Magnoliopsida; Poales; Poaceae.